GAUGAACGCUGGCGGCGUGCCUAAUACAUGCAAGUCGAGCGAACAGACGAGGAGCUUGCUCCUCUGACGUUAGCGGCGGACGGGUGAGUAACACGUGGAUAACCUACCUAUAAGACUGGGAUAACUUCGGGAAACCGGAGCUAAUACCGGAUAAUAUAUUGAACCGCAUGGUUCAAUAGUGAAAGACGGUUUUGCUGUCACUUAUAGAUGGAUCCGCGCCGCAUUAGCUAGUUGGUAAGGUAACGGCUUACCAAGGCAACGAUGCGUAGCCGACCUGAGAGAGUGAUCGGCCACACUGGAACUGAGACACGGUCCACACUCCUACGGGAGGCAGCAGUGGGGAAUCUUCCGCAAUGGGCGAAAGCCUGACGGAGCAACGCCGCGUGAGUGAUGAAGGUCUUCGGAUCGUAAAACUCUGUUAUUAGGGAAGAACAAAUGUGUAAGUAACUAUGCACGUCUUGACGGUACCUAAUCAGAAAGCCACGGCUAACUACGUG
RNAcentral lists this ribosomal RNA (497 nucleotides) under uncultured bacterium. RNAcentral's name for it is "partial 16S ribosomal RNA". It matches the Rfam family "Bacterial small subunit ribosomal RNA", at positions 28 to 507 of the family's 1533-position model. The record is from RNAcentral.